UGGACUCGCGGUCUGCGCAGACUGCUCCGCGCAUUCUACGGUUGACCCGGGAAGAAGGAAAGCAGGCCGGGCUCAUCGCUCCAAGGGCGCCUGAGAGGCGAGCAGGCGGCGCAGCCUGGGAUUGGUCAUCGCGAAUCGCGGCGGCCCCGAUGCGCACCAAGAGAAGCAGGAGCCGAUCAUGCGUGUCGUGCACGUCACCGGCGCGAAGGGCCCCUUCGAGCUCGUCAAGCGAGAGAUCCCGGAGCCCGGCCCGGGAUCCGUGCGUGUCAAGGUCGAGGCCUGCGCGGCAUCUGCCACAGCGACUUCGUGACGAAGGAAGGGAUCUGG
RNAcentral lists this unclassified non-coding RNA (327 nucleotides) under uncultured bacterium. Its description in RNAcentral is "contains 16S-23S intergenic spacer region". The record is from RNAcentral.